UAAACGCCAUCAUAAACACGAUUAUACCAAGAGAUAUCAUCAUUAGUGAGAGACAUAAGUCUCACGGACCACCGUAGACAUCCCUUGUUCUCCUUGAAGGCAAGCGUCUGAGGCAAGUGUGAAAUAAACCACUUGUACAACAGAGGAAGACAACACACAAUGGAACCACCACCCUUUGCAUUCCUCAUAUGCAAAGAGAAAUAAGUGUCACCCAACAGAGUCGGAACGAGAUUAAGAAGAGAAAAU
This 246-nucleotide long non-coding RNA is filed under the name Lathyrus oleraceus (garden pea). RNAcentral's name for it is "Pisum sativum (pea) long non-coding RNA (PSAT_LNC026203)". Lineage: Eukaryota; Viridiplantae; Streptophyta; Magnoliopsida; Fabales; Fabaceae. The record is from RNAcentral.